CAUGCAGCGAAGGAACUGAAGAAUUGUGGGACUGUAUUUGGGCGGAAAAUGGGUGUGGUAUGGAAACACAGAAAUGGCACGAGUUCAACAUGAAACAUGGAUUAGAAUUUUAGCGGGGGUUCAAGUCAAGUCUGGAAGUGUUACAGGAUGGAAGAGUGAGCCUGUAGUUGAAAAAACACUGAGAGUGCAUUACCAUUAAGGUGUGAGGUAAAGUAAUAGAGUAAUGCAAAUUGUCUAAUGAGAAGUACCACCUUGUGUUAAUGAAUCCGUUACAACAGCAAUCCUUUAUAGUUCUGACAGAAGAAUAUGCUCGCAAUCAACUCACGAAUCAUGUAAGAUGAACAAUAAAUUUUGAUCUGAAAAGGUUUCUUGUUUGGGGCAAGGUCAUGAAUUAAUUUUUACGUUUGGAUACACUACAUGGAAGUUCUACACUUAAUUCAUAUUCCCCAAACGG
Molecule: long non-coding RNA, 454 nt
Organism: Daphnia carinata
Lineage: Eukaryota; Metazoa; Arthropoda; Branchiopoda; Diplostraca; Daphniidae
Exons: 3
Source: RefSeq, a predicted model, not a curated record